CACCUUCACCUCAAGAAAACCACCGCCAGGAAGCCUCGUCGCCCUCGCCGGUGAACGAUCAUCCGAAUCACCUGCCUCCGUUAUGCUUGAUGAGGAAGUCCCCGAUCUCGAAUCUGAGGGCCGUGGGAUCUCCGGGGGAGGGCCGAUGAUGUAGGUGGGUUCGAGGAAUGUGGGUUAGGGUUGGAUGCGAGGAUGAUGGGUGUUACUCAUGGUUUGUGUUAUUGUGAGUAGUUGCCAUCCCCAACUUUUCAGAUGUAUCUAUUGUGAUGGCGUGGCAUGAGACGCAGAGAUUAGAUCUAUCGUUUGGGAAUUUGUCAUGACAAGGUAUGAUCACAAAUCAACGAGAUUCGUUUCUUCGGAAGCUCCAACUUUGCUCUAUUAAUCACUGCUAAGGACAUCUGCUACACGUUCAUUCUAGCCAAUCCAAAGACUCAGUGUCCUAAAUAGAGUUAUAACGAGGUCUAUGAGAAACUCAGGAUAUCUGAAGUCAGACUUUGGAAGUAAUGCAGUCUAUGCUGGAUGGUGAUUCCUAUUUCCACUCCUUACAGAGAUACUUGGAAUAAGAUGAGUAAUGUCUGCCUUUUGUAUUUCCCUUGAUGAUUUGUACAAUGAUACCAAUAUCUCUUUUUGAUUUUCACAAGUAUAUAAAAGCUUUAUUGUUCAUAUGAGAUAGACAAAUAAUGAGGGAAAAUUUACUGAUGCUGUAAUUUCUGCUGAUAAAUCAAUAAUAGCUGUUGGAAUUUUC
Molecule: long non-coding RNA, 745 nt
Organism: Musa acuminata subsp. malaccensis (wild Malaysian banana)
Lineage: Eukaryota; Viridiplantae; Streptophyta; Magnoliopsida; Zingiberales; Musaceae
Source: RefSeq, a predicted model, not a curated record